GCGAACGGCGUGCAGGCGGCGGCGGGAAUACGAGGGGUGCAAACGGGGCUCGGAAUCAUUGGGCUUAAAGCGCACGUAGGCGGCUUCUCAAGUUGGAUGGGAAAUCCCUCGGCGCAACCGAGGACGUGCAUCCAAAACUGCGAGGCUUGAGUACUGAAGAGGAUCGCGGAAUUCCCGGUGUAGAGGUGAAAUUCGUAGAUAUCGGGAGGAACACCAGUGGCGAAGGCGGCGAUCUGGGCAGAUACUGACGCUGAGGUGCGAAAGCGUGGGGAGCAAACAGGAUUAGAUACCCCGGUAGUC
Molecule: ribosomal RNA, 300 nt
Filed under: uncultured archaeon
Lineage: Archaea
Description: bacterial SSU rRNA
Rfam family: Bacterial small subunit ribosomal RNA
Source: RNAcentral